This 949-nucleotide long non-coding RNA is filed under the name Mus caroli (Ryukyu mouse). Its description in RNAcentral is "lncRNA (MGP_CAROLIEiJ_G0003287.1)". The record is from RNAcentral. Lineage: Eukaryota; Metazoa; Chordata; Mammalia; Rodentia; Muridae.
AACUAUCAGCUGUGAGGCUGGGUUUGCUGGGACUGAACAUGUGCCGCCGAGAUAGAGCUCUCCUCUAGAAUACAAGAGACCCUGGAUUUGGUUCCCACAACAAUCAGACAGCACUCCGAAGCUUCAGAGGGGAUGAGGGGGGAGAGUGGUUCUCCCAAUCCACUCACCCGUGUCUUCCUCUUCUUGCCUGUUGGGGUUCAAAGCCAUGACUUGUACGGUCACAGAGUUUCGGGAGACUGUGCCGCCACUCCGCCCUGGAGGCCACACCUUAUGAGUCUGCAUGUGCUUCUUGACGUUAGACUUCUGGGCAAAGGCACGGCCACACGCAAUGCACUGGAAGGGCUUCUCGCCUGUGUGGCUAUAGGAACAAGGCUCACGGAUGGGCAGAGGGCCUGAAAAGGGCGCCUCACUUCCCGGCCCUGUGCUGCAGACACCGGCCCUCAGGGCUACCUUCGGAUAUGCUGCUGAAGAUCAAAGUUCUUGGUGAAGGACUUGUCACAGUAGGAGCACUUGAGUUUCUGAGCUUUUGGCUUCCCUGCAGCUGGAAGGCAAUGGAGGAGAAGGAGGGUCAGGCUGAGGUCCCAGCGGAGGGAACCUGGAACCGCUUCUCCCCUGUCCCUAGGGUCAGACAGGCACACACGUUGGAAACGUCUCUAUCUAUGUGUAGGCAGUGUAAGAGGGAAAGUCCAAGGCUCGCUCUGAAGGGAACAAAGCUCUCUCAAAGGCUUCCUCUGCCUCACGAUGAAAUCCACCCUCUCUGCCAUGGCCUUCAGAACUCCACAUUCUCAGCCUCUGUCAACUUCAGCAUUCCCUCCAUCUUGUGAUGGACUCCUUGCUCCUCGUGAUGCCCGCACACAUGGUCUUCCCUCAGGACUUUGUACCUGUUCAUCCCCCUGCCUGGGAAGCUUGCUCCCAGGUACCAACAUGACUACUUCCUUCCCUCCAGAAA